UAGAGUGAUGUGCUAGAUACAGCAGGCAUCCCAGCAGCAAAUUCUGGUUGGUGGAGCCCAGAUGGUUUCUUCAUAGAGGCAAUGAAUUUAUUUUUAAAAAAUGAAAAGAAGUUUACCAAAUGUAUAGGGGCAUUUCAACAUUCAAAGUAGAAGGAUCAGCAUGAGCAAAACAUAUGAAAAUAAAACAAGAGCUAGAAUGUUUGAGCAGUGGUGAGACAACCAGGAGUUUCAAGCAAUUAAAAGGUCAAAGUGGGAAAUAAGGUUAGGGAGAAAAUGUAGAGUAAAGGUAAAUUCCUUUUCCUUUUAAUCAAGUAUCAGUGAUGACGAAGGUAAGGAGCAAGUUAUCUUUUCUGCACCAGAAAAAAGGAAAAUCUGGAGUAUGACAGCAAUCUUCAUAAAUACAAAUGAUUACUCGUGGAACACUGGACUUAUUUCCAAACUAGAAGAGGCGAAAGCAAUGAAUGAAACAUACAAUUCAAUAUUUGAAAAAGAUAGAACUCCCUGAAAAGAGAAUGUCCUGACUUCACGGUCAGUAGAGGUGCUGUGUAAAAAAGGUUCUCCAGGAGACUCUGGUCAUACUGAGGGUCAUUUGGCUCACUGCUACAAUACACAUCACUCCCAGGAGAUGGGGAAUCUGGAGGAGAGCCUAGUCCAUCCCAGUAAUGACCCUGAGAUAAUUCAGCACUGCAAAGAUAAAGACAACAACAAAAACAAGGACUUUAACGGAAGUUUCAGCUAAGCUAUUCUUUCAUUAAUGAAAACUUUCUAAACAUGGAGGAAGCUAUGUUAAACCAAAGACACAUUAAA
Talpa occidentalis (Iberian mole) is the source of this 807-nucleotide long non-coding RNA. RefSeq lists it as uncharacterized. The record is from RefSeq and is a predicted model, not a curated record. NCBI's taxonomy places the organism in Eukaryota, Metazoa, Chordata, Mammalia, Eulipotyphla, Talpidae. The transcript is spliced from 4 exons.